Molecule: long non-coding RNA, 2536 nt
Filed under: Lynx pardinus (Iberian lynx)
Lineage: Eukaryota; Metazoa; Chordata; Mammalia; Carnivora; Felidae
Source: RNAcentral
CGGGCCGCGGGCAUCGGCUGCUUGGGCGCCGCGGGCUGCUUGGGGGACGGCGCGGCGGAGCCCGCGGGCUGCUCCGCGCUGCCUGCCGCGUUGCCCAUGGUGGUCCCCACCCAGUCGGCCAGGCGCCUCCAGCCUCGGAAAUCCAGCUUUCCGGGGGACCGGGGACGAGGCUCCCGGCCUGGGGGGCGAGCAGGGCAGAGGCUGGCGGCGGCGGCGGCGCGGCGCGGCUCGGCUCCGCGGCGCUCGGCUCAGCUGCGCGCAAGGGCCGGGGCGCGGCGUCCCAUCGGGGCGGCCCCGUCCGAGGAGCCGGGCGGCGAGCUGCGGGGUGGGGGGAGGAAGUCAGGCUGCAGGCCGCGGGGGACAGAGGGCUGGGCCGGGGGCAGGAAGCUGCGGCGCGGGCUCCCCCCUCGGCGAUUUUCUAACUUCUGCUGUCGCUCCCCGAGCGCGCAAACCGCAUUUCGCCGCCGCCGCUACGCACCCUGCCCCCGGGGGGCGGGCUGGAGGGAGGGGGCGGGCGCCGGGAGCCGGCCGGGGGUCCGCCGCAGCCAUGGCGCUGCGCGGAGGGGGCCGGCGACCCGCUUCACCUGCCGCAGAGGGGGCGGCGGGCGCCGUUUCACCUGCGGGAGCGGGAGGCGGCCGAGGCGAGGCAGAGGCGGCGGCGCGCGCGGCGGCGCCUCCGGGUCCUAGAACCGCAUGCUCCCGCUCUUCCGAGCCGGGGAUCGGCGGGGUCUGGGUGAGGGGGGUCACGGCCUGGGAGUCGGAGGGGGCAAACCUCCGGGAGUCGGAGGGGGCAAACCUCCUUGCCGAGGAUGCCAGCAACUGCGUGCUCGGCUUGGAGACCCAUGACGGUGCGGCGUUGGGGCGCAAGGGCUGGGUCCCCCUCUCGGAUUCUGGACUGAGAAGGUGGGAACCCCCUUCCAGGCCCCCUACCCCUUGUUUCUCCCCUCAUCUGUUUGGUCCAGAGAGGAGCUGAGGAUCAGAGGGAACCAUCUGCAAACGAGAGCCCCAAAGCAUGGCGAGGAGCGCAGAUCCAGGCCAACCGAGACCCCCGGACCUGUCCCACCCUGGACCAACUCUGCGCCCAUACCGACAUCCCCAGGGUUUUAUAACGAGGGCGCCUAUGGGAAAAGGCAAGGUACGGGAAUCUGGGGACCACCAAGGCGGUCUCAAGGAGAAGCGCAGGGGUUGGGGAACAGAGGAUUAAAGCCAGUAUCCAGGCUGAGAAAGGAGCAGGCUCCGCAGAGGAGAAAAAAAAUAUCUCCUUGACGCUGUCCCCUCCAGGGACGUAGGGUGGCCUCUCACCUUGGUGAAUAACAAUCCCUGAAGUCUAGCAAUUACAGAAAUGCUUCCAGAGGUCUUCUUUCAUUCAUCCCUACAGUGACUGGGGAAGGUAGGUAUUGACAUCUUCAUUUAGAGAUGGGAAAACAGACUCAGGGUGGUUAGUUGACUUGCCCAAGGGCACACAACUAAUAAAGGUCACAAACAGCCCUACUCUCUGCCCACCUUCAAAAUCCACACUGCCUUGGAGCUGCUGCCCUAGCCCCCACUGCCCCUCUCAUCCAGGGUGGGCCAGAAAGGUGAGUGAGUAUUGGGAGGACUAUAGAACCCCAGCUCUGAGACACAAUCUCCAACCUGUAUUUGAGGCCCUUCUCCCUCAGUUGCUCUUAUUGUUCCCCAUCGAAUCUGUGGAGAUCCCGAGCUGCCCCUCCCUUCACUUCCAAAACAUUGAGGAUGGAGGGCCCACUACAUGAGGCCUGGAUUUUCUCUAGGCCAGGCCAGAGGCCAUAAGUGUCCCUUCCCCUUAUAGCUUCCUCUUCCUUCUACCUUCCCUUUCACAUGCAGAACCACUGACAAAUUUCAGCAGGAGCUGGGAAAUUUACCUAAUUUUAAGGAAGGCCCUGGGAUGAGACAGCCCCUUCCCCCAGACUGACCUGAUUUAAGUGCUUCUUCUGCCAAGGUCACCAGCACGUCUGGUGGGUGAGAGAUGUGGUUACUUAUUUCAUGUCCCAGCCAGGGACGCACAGGUAAGACAAAGCAGGAUUUUCCUGGAACCUGCUACCAAGGUGAUCCAUUCUGUGCCCGCUACCCUUAUCCUCAGCUGACCUGGGGUUCUUGCCCUUGACAUUAGCUAGGACAUCUUUUUUUAUUUCUUUUUAAAGAAUUUAGUCCCUGAUCCCCUCAAUGCUUGUCCCUUUCCUUUUAACAACAUACCUUAAAUUUACACUAGCUGUGUGCCCAGCACUGUGCUCACUCCUGUUGAUUCAGUGGCAGAUGAAAAGAGUCCCCAUUAUUAGACUGCUCACAGCCUAGCAAGGGACAGACUCCAAACACAUCUGGGAGAGUAACUACCAUCAGGCAGACUGGUAGCAGGUGUUCAUGCUUCCCCUUGCCCAGAACUACUUCUUCCGGUAGGUAAGAGAAGGAUGGGAGUUGUGCGCUGCAACUGAAAAUCCGAGCAGGGUGGGGAGCCUCUAAUGAAGUAGUUGCCAGCCUAAGCCCUCCAUUCCUGGGGAUGCUCUGGCCAUUGCCAACCACU